This 497-nucleotide ribosomal RNA is filed under the name uncultured bacterium. Its description in RNAcentral is "partial 16S ribosomal RNA". It matches the Rfam family "Bacterial small subunit ribosomal RNA", at positions 28 to 507 of the family's 1533-position model. The record is from RNAcentral.
GAUGAACGCUGGCGGCGUGCCUAAUACAUGCAAGUCGAGCGAACAGAUGAGGAGCUUGCUCCUCUGACGUUAGCGGCGGACGGGUGAGUAACACGUGGAUAACCUACCUAUAAGACUGGGAUAACUUCGGGAAACCGGAGCUAAUACCGGAUAAUAUAUUGAACCGCAUGGUUCAAUAGUGAAAGACGGUUUUGCUGUCACUUAUAGAUGGAUCCGCGCCGCAUUAGCUAGUUGGUAAGGUAAGGGCUUACCAAGGCAACGAUGCGUAGCCGACCUGAGAGGGUGAUCGGCCACACUGGAACUGGGACACGGUCCAGACUCCUACGGGAGGCAGCAGUAGGGAAUCUUCCGCAAUGGGCGAAAGCCUGACGGAGCAACGCCGCGUGAGUGAUGAAGGUCUUCGGAUCGUAAAACUCUGUUAUUAGGGAAGAACAAAUGUGUAAGUAACUAUGCACGUCUUGACGGUACCUAAUCAGAAAGCCACGGCUAACUACGUG